UACAGAGGUCUCAAGCGUUGUUCGGAUUCAUUGGGCGUAAAGGGUGCGUAGGUGGUGACGCAAGUCUGGUGUGAAAUCUCGGAGCUUAACUCCGAAAUUGCACCGGAUACUGCGUAACUCGAGGACUGUAGAGGAGAUCGGAAUUCACGGUGUAGCAGUGAAAUGCGUAGAUAUCGUGAGGAAGACCAGUUGCGAAGGCGGAUCUCUGGGCAGUUCCUGACACUGAGGCACGAAAGCUAGGGGAGCAAACAGG
RNAcentral lists this ribosomal RNA (253 nucleotides) under uncultured bacterium. RNAcentral describes it as "partial 16S ribosomal RNA". It matches the Rfam family "Bacterial small subunit ribosomal RNA", at positions 524 to 776 of the family's 1533-position model. The record is from RNAcentral.